This 253-nucleotide ribosomal RNA is filed under the name uncultured bacterium. RNAcentral describes it as "partial 16S ribosomal RNA". It matches the Rfam family "Bacterial small subunit ribosomal RNA", at positions 524 to 776 of the family's 1533-position model. The record is from RNAcentral.
UACGUAGGUGGCAAGCGUUAUCCGGAUUUAUUGGGCGUAAAGGGAACGCAGGCGGUCUUUUAAGUCUGAUGUGAAAGCCUUCGGCUUAAACGGAGUAGUGCAUUGGAAACUGGGAGACUUGAGUGCAGAAGAGGAGAGUGGAACUCCAUGUGUAGCGGUGAAAUGCGUAGAUAUAUGGAAGAACACCAGUGGCGAAAGCGGCUCUCUGGUCUGUAACUGACGCUGAGGUUCGAAAGCGUGGGUAGCAAACAGG